Molecule: ribosomal RNA, 497 nt
Filed under: uncultured bacterium
Lineage: Bacteria
Description: partial 16S ribosomal RNA
Rfam family: Bacterial small subunit ribosomal RNA
Source: RNAcentral
GACGAACGCUGGCGGCGUGCCUAAUACAUGCAAGUCGAACGGUGAAACGAGGUGCUUGCUCCUCUGACGUUAGCGGCGGACGGGGGGGUAACAAGUGGAUAGUCUACCUCUAACACUUGGAUAACAUCGGGAAACAAGAGCUGCUACCGCAUAAUAUAUUGAACCGCUUGGUUCAAUGGUGAGAGACGGAUUUGCUUUCAGUUGUGGAUGGACCCGCGCCGCAUUAGCUUGUUGGUAAGGUAAUGGCCUACCAAGGCAACGAUGCGUAGCCGACCUGAGAGGGUGGUCGGCCACCAUGGAACGGAGACACGGCCCAGACUACUACGGGAGGCAGCAGUAGGGAGUCUUCCGCAAUGGGGGAAAGCCGGAUGGAGCAACGCCGCGUGGGGGAGGAUGGUGUUCGGAGCGUAAAACUCUGUUAUUAGGAAAGAAGAAAGGUGUAAGUAACUGUGCACGGGUUGACGGUACCUAAUCAGAAAGCCACGGCUAACUACGUG